UCACAAAUCAAGCUCGGCUUGCUGUUGGACCUCUUGUCGGUAAAAGACAGGCCCCAAAGAUAAUGACGGUGUUAUUAGAACCCUAGAUGCAACGAGCUUUAACUAGCACGCACCAUAGUGGCCUUUUAACCCGGUCUUUUUAACCAAUUUCUAA
Molecule: unclassified non-coding RNA, 154 nt
Filed under: uncultured Chaetothyriales
Lineage: Eukaryota; Fungi; Ascomycota; Eurotiomycetes; Chaetothyriales
Description: sequence contains ITS2
Source: RNAcentral